Molecule: ribosomal RNA, 1107 nt
Filed under: Triticum aestivum (bread wheat)
Lineage: Eukaryota; Viridiplantae; Streptophyta; Magnoliopsida; Poales; Poaceae
Description: partial small subunit ribosomal RNA
Source: RNAcentral
AUGCAUGCUUGCAGGUUCUUCCGUCCCCAGCAGACAACCAGCUCUGAAUCUGAGAUGGUCAUGGAAAAGGAGACAGCAGAAGAAGCCUACUUGCGUCUGGGAACCGGAGGGCAUGAAAAAACAGUUGAUCAAGUGAAAUCUCUUCAUGACUUCUCCGCCAUUGAUCUGUCGAAGCAAUUGGUACUGCCCAAAUAUGUUGCUUUUAAAGGCGACAAUGACAUGUACCUCCGGGCAAGGAUCAUCCAGAAAUACAAUUACCUGGAAUUCUCAUCAUCUGAUAUUGCAGAUUCAACUGUGGUCAACACUAUUUUCCCCAACUACGCUAAUGGAAACAUGCGCAUAAAAUCUAACCACUUCAACAGGUUUUGGAGGCUCAGCCCCAACUGGAUCUGGGCUGACUCCGCCGACAGCAGCAGCAGAGACCGUGACACACUCUUCAGGGUGGUCAUGUUGCCUGACUACAUCGGUCUCCAGAACCUGGGAAACUCCAGGUACUGCAAGAGGCUAACUGCCGACAGAAAGACAAGCUGCCUUAACGCCGCCGUCGAUACCAUCACACUGGAAGCAAGGUUACGGGUGGAAGAAGCCGUACUUUCACGAGAGAUCUAUGGCGUGGAGUUCAAGCUCUCCGAAGCUAGGAUCUACGGCGAGAAGCCUAUUACCUUUCCCAGCAUGACUUCAACCAAUGACACCAACGAACCACAUGCCAAGACCCUGACCCUGAAAUACGAGGAGACGCAGGCCAAGACCUGGAGCUCGACUGUUCGCCUCAAGAUUGGUGUCACGGCCAAGUUAAGAGCUGGGAUCCCAGUCAUAGCAGAAGGGAAGGUUGAGGUAUCCACUGAAUUCAAUUCAGAAUACGAGUGGGGGUCAUCCAUUCAUACAACGGCCUCACAAGAGGCCUCCUACCAUGCUGUGGUGCCUCCGAUGACCAAGGUGACAGUCAGAGCGGCUGUGACACAGGGUUCUGUUGACGUCCCGUUCUCCUACACUCAGAGGGACAUUCUGACCACAGGAGAGGUUGUUACCUACAAGAUGGAUGAUGGUCUGUUCACUGGUAUGAACAACUAUAAUUUCCAAUUUGAAGCCACACAAGAGCCCAUUUGA